This 1576-nucleotide long non-coding RNA is filed under the name Cricetulus griseus (Chinese hamster). Its description in RNAcentral is "lncRNA (ENSCGRG00015032321.1)". Lineage: Eukaryota; Metazoa; Chordata; Mammalia; Rodentia; Cricetidae. The record is from RNAcentral.
GGGACUUACAUGUGAAACAAGCUUGUUCCCUAACUAGAACUAAUAAAUAAAUUUAAAAAAAGGAAAACAGGUACCCCUUUAACUGCUUUUUAGAAAAAGUAAACCAUAAGGAGUUUGAUGUUCAGACUAAUAGCUGUUGUAUGUUCUCAGGCUUUCACGCUGUGUGAGCUGCUUGUUUGAAUACAAGUUCAUUCUCCAAAAAAAUAAAAUAAAAAAAGAACCUGGCUCCUGGAAGCCUCAACAGGUUCCUCGCCCUCCCCACCCUUGCCCCGACCAAUGGUGAAGAGCAGAGAAAGAAGACAUGUGUAAAGUUAAAAUGGAGAAGUGUUCUAGACACACUGGGGCCUAUAGGCUGAAUAUGGAUGCCCCAACGUUAAAGAGGAACUUUGGGUGACUGUCCAGGUAGCGAGAAGUCUCUGUCAAUUCUAGAGUUCAUAUAUUAUCCUUCUAUGAUCUGUUAGAGUUGAAGACAGAUAGUUAUGGUUAUAGUUUUCCUCAGUUAUUAUAAAAGAUAAGUUAUCUUUCUUUUUGUUUAGACAGAAAAGAGGAAAUGAUGGGGAAUGUACUGUGUAUGUUUGUCUUAUUGAUUGUUAAAUAAAAUACUGUUUGGCCAAUGAGACAGGAAGUUAGACAGGACUAGGAGUCAAAGAGGAUUCUGGGAAAUGUAGUAGAGAAGUGCUGAUCCAGGCAGGAAGUGACAUAGCAAGGAGACUCAUAUUUAAGCGAAGGAGAAACAGGAAGGGCUCCUUUUUCCCCUUCGCUCCUGCUCCAGCAGCACAAUGUGAUCCACCGGCAAGGAGGGUCGCCAAUAAGGCGUCCAAUAAGUUUAACUGCAGCGGCUGUGUGAGAUAUAUGUGGAGAUGCUGGUUGGAGCCAUUUGAUGGCAUUCAGCUUUGUGUGUCCCCCAAGGAGAAGAAAGAAUCCUCCAGCAGGUCUGGGUUGUGCUUCUGGCCGUACAACAUCUGUGGAGAAGAAGGAUGUCAUGUGGAAUUUACAACAGAUCCUAAUGGGAGAGUCUCCCUAUCGAUACCCAAGAUUGUGGAGAUGUACAGAAAUUAUGCACCCGCUGAAAGCCAAAUCUUGGCAUAGUCUUGGAACCUGAUUUCCCCUACCUGGCAUGUGCCAUCAGGUGGUAUGUUUGGGAGAGGUUGCUGUGUGUAACUCCUUUGGGCUGCGAAGCAGAAAACAGGACUGAAGGCCUGGGGAACUUAAUCCAGAACUCUGAGCACCAAUUGCAUGAAGAAACCACCUGGGAAGCAUUUGUGCUGCCCUUUCAAAAGGGUUAGCUUCCCUUCAAUUCAGCCAAGCCAGACACAACUCCUGAUGUCAGUUUCACGGCGAAGAUCUUGACAGGAGGACUUCAGCUCUCAGGUGAUAUGAAAAGCUGUGAUUUCCACUUCUGAUCAUUUCUCAUAUUCCUGAAGCCAUAGAUGAAGGCAGGAAGGAUCCGAGUGUCCUGCGUGUAUUUCUUGCUGGCGAGGAAUACAGAGCGGGCGCGGGACACAUGGUGCCGAAACCCGGGAAGCCUAACAUCUCCAGCACCGCGGAGACCCCUUGGCUACAAGGCGGAUUCAGA